Molecule: ribosomal RNA, 253 nt
Filed under: uncultured bacterium
Lineage: Bacteria
Description: partial 16S ribosomal RNA
Rfam family: Bacterial small subunit ribosomal RNA
Source: RNAcentral
UACGUAGGGUGCGAGCGUUAAUCGGAAUUACUGGGCGUAAAGCGUGCGCAGGCGGUGAUGUAAGACAGAUGUGAAAUCCCCGGGCUUAACCUGGGAACUGCAUUUGUGACUGCAUGGCUAGAGUGCGGCAGAGGGGGAUGGAAUUCCGCGUGUAGCAGUGAAAUGCGUAGAUAUGCGGAGGAACACCGAUGGCGAAGGCAAUCCCCUGGGCCUGCACUGACGCUCAUGCACGAAAGCGUGGGGAGCAAACAGG